Molecule: ribosomal RNA, 480 nt
Filed under: uncultured Streptococcus sp.
Lineage: Bacteria; Bacillati; Bacillota; Bacilli; Lactobacillales; Streptococcaceae
Description: bacterial SSU rRNA
Rfam family: Bacterial small subunit ribosomal RNA
Source: RNAcentral
CUUAAAAGGAAUUGACGGGGCCCGCACAAGCGGUGGAGCAUGUGGUUAAUUCGAAGCAACGCGAAGAACCUUACCAGGUCUUGACAUCCCGAUGCUAUUUCUAGAGAUAGAAAGUUACUUCGGUACAUCGGUGACAGGUGGUGCACGGUUGUCGUCAGCUCGUGUCGUGAGAUGUUGGGUUAAGUCCCGCAACGAGCGCAACCCCUAUUGUUAGUUGCCAUCAUUCAGUUGGGCACUCUAGCGAGACUGCCGGUAAUAAACCGGAGGAAGGUGGGGAUGACGUCAAAUCAUCAUGCCCCUUAUGACCUGGGCUACACACGUGCUACAAUGGUUGGUACAACGAGUUGCGAGUCGGUGACGGCGAGCUAAUCUCUUAAAGCCAAUCUCAGUUCGGAUUGUAGGCUGCAACUCGCCUACAUGAAGUCGGAAUCGCUAGUAAUCGCGGAUCAGCACGCCGCGGUGAAUACGUUCCCGGGUCUU